GACAGAGGGUGCAAGCGUUGUUCGGAAUCAUUGGGCGUAAAGGGCGCGUAGGCGGUUUGAUAAGUUAAAUGUGAAAUCCCAGGGCUCAACCGUGGAAGUGCAUUUAAAACUGUCAGACUGGAGUCCCGGAGAGGGUGGUGGAAUUCCCAGUGUAGAGGUGAAAUUCGUAGAUAUUGGGAGGAACAUCGGUGGCGAAGGCGACCACCUGGACGGUGACUGACGCUGAGGCGCGAAAGCGUGGGUAGCAAACAGG
RNAcentral lists this ribosomal RNA (253 nucleotides) under uncultured bacterium. RNAcentral's name for it is "partial 16S ribosomal RNA". It matches the Rfam family "Bacterial small subunit ribosomal RNA", at positions 524 to 776 of the family's 1533-position model. The record is from RNAcentral.